RNAcentral lists this ribosomal RNA (253 nucleotides) under uncultured bacterium. Its description in RNAcentral is "partial 16S ribosomal RNA". It matches the Rfam family "Bacterial small subunit ribosomal RNA", at positions 524 to 776 of the family's 1533-position model. The record is from RNAcentral.
UACGAAGGGGGCUAGCGUUGUUCGGAAUUACUGGGCGUAAAGCGUUUGUAGGCGGUUAUACAAGUCAGGUGUGAAAUCCUGGGGCUCAACCUCAGAAUUGCAUUUGAAACUGUAUAGCUAGAGAAUGUUAGAGGAAAGUGGAAUUCCUAGUGUAGGAGUGAAAUCCGUAGAGAUUAGGAGGAAUAUCGAUGGCGAAGGCAGCUUUCUGGGACAUUUCUGACGCUGAGAAACGAAAGCGUGGGUAGCAAACAGG